Molecule: long non-coding RNA, 2028 nt
Filed under: Manihot esculenta (cassava)
Lineage: Eukaryota; Viridiplantae; Streptophyta; Magnoliopsida; Malpighiales; Euphorbiaceae
Description: long non-coding RNA (MESC_LNC010655)
Source: RNAcentral
AUUUACUGGGUUCCUUGCCUUCUUUCACUUCUUGAAUGCAGUAAGUUUUUGGAGACCAUCUGUAUUGUUAUGAGUUCCUUCUAAGAUGGAUACCUUUCCUGGCCAGAGCUGGGGUUUUCUUCGAUGGCCUGGCUUGAUGGCUUCUUGAGGCUUCUGAUUUUGGUGCUUUUAUGGUCUCACUGUUUGGAGGUCCUUUUAUUCCUUCGUCUUCCAUUUACCCCAAUUCGUGUUGGCGACCGGGUCAUUGUUGAGAAGGUAAAGAUUCUUUCAGAAUUUAGUGUUUGUUUAUUGUUAUAAAUUAUAAUGUCUAGUUUGGUGAUUGAUCUAGAUUCUUGUUGGGUAUCUAAGUUUGUGAAGAACUGAAGAUCAUAGUUCAGAAAUAAUAAUCUUGAUGAAUAUCUUUUGCAUUUGUUAUCUAAUCUUCAGAACCUUUACCCUAAUUAUUUAACCCAGUAAAGAACUGCUUUUACAUUUUCAUUUCCUGUUUUGCUUAUUAGUGGUUUCUGACUUGAAAGAGGAGAAUUAAUAUUGAAAGAUUUAUAAUUUUGAAUAUUACUGCAGUAUCCACAGGUGAUAGCAAAAAAAAAAAAAUCCAUAUAAUCAAUUUUAGUUGGUUUGAGAUUAAGACUUCAUGCUCUUGUCUUUAGAUAUAUUCCCAUCUAUUUAUCAUGAUUUUCUUUUCUUUUUUCUGAAAGGGGUUUCCCUCUUUUUUUCCUGGCUUGCUAGUUAAUUACUGGAUUAUCUUGUCUUAAUCAUAAAUCAGGUUUCUGUAUGACGACGCUGAGCUCCAGUUCAGCUGCAUUUGGAAAGAUGCCUAAUUUACUUGUAAGAUGACUUUGAUUCUUUCCCUUCUAGGUCAGAUUGAUAUACUUUGCACUUAGAGCUUUUCCACCAUGCUUUAGUUCAGCUUAGUGUAAACCGCCUCUUCUGUGGUGAAUUUCAGUGAGGAGGCUGAAAUCCUUGUAUUAUUGACAGUCUACAGAAUGGCAAUCUUCACCAAACCUGUAGGUUAUAGAUUCCAACUCUCCAAUUUUUAGGUGCAUUUGGGCAAUGAAAUGAGUUCCUUAUGAAAUGCCAGUAAGAUUACAAGAGUCGUUGUUAAUCAUUUCAUUUAACGAUUAUCAAUGACUUCUUUUGAUGUCAUUCAUAAUUGAACUCCCUUUUGUAUGUAUAGUGAUUGUUUGAGGUUCUUGUUCUUUACUGGAGCUAUUGUCUAUUUCUCUAUUAUCAGAUGACUUCUGCUUAGGGGAGAGCAUAUCUUGAUUCAAACAGAGAAACUGAGAAACUCAAAAAAAUUUUCAAAAUGUCUUUAAAUACUUUAAACUCAAGAGAUUAUCAGGUUAUCUCUGAUGAGCUUGACAGCUUUUCAAAAUAGGUCGCGAAAAGAAAAAUCAAUUCUUGUUCUCUCUUAUCUUGCCAAAAGACUCAUUACACAAACCUAUAACUAGAUUCUACACACAGGAUCCUAACAAUUGGUAUCAGAGCUAGGGGUCAUAGGGGAUUAUAUCUCACAGCAAUUAUACUGAAUUCUCACCUUGUUCUUAGAAGAGCAAGCAGCCAAUAAGGCCUGGCACAAUGAAUUAAAUUCAAAAUUAGAAGCUCUCAUUUGUGACAUCGCCAAUUCAGCACAACCCACAGAAAUUGGUAGUCAUUCUCGCACCCAAAAGGCCAAAGGAGUAACAGGUUCUACAGGUUACGAAAAUUCAAGUAGUAGUAAAAUUGUUCCAAAAUUUACUAAACUUGAUUUCUCUGCAGCAGAUAUGAUUAUUUUUUUCAACAUCAAUAAACUUCAAAAGUGGAGAAGGUUAGUUUAUCUUCAUUUCACCUGGAGGGCAUAACACAACUAUGGUUCCAUGCAAUUGCUGCAAGACUAUCCGAAUUUAACAUGGGAAUAUUUCAAAAACCAGUGCAAAAAACUAUUCUGGCUGGAUUUAACAGAAGAUGACUUGGGAGAUGUCGCAAUGGACUAGCUACUAGUUGAAUAGUUCCUAGAAAUUUUCUGAGUUUGUGCUUGAGGACAAGCGCAUA